Molecule: long non-coding RNA, 941 nt
Organism: Myotis myotis
Lineage: Eukaryota; Metazoa; Chordata; Mammalia; Chiroptera; Vespertilionidae
Exons: 2
Source: RefSeq, a predicted model, not a curated record
UGUGAGUCACUCGGUAGCCCUCGGUUGUCAGAUAAACUGUCACAGAUCACAGUGCCUAUGUGCAAGGAACUCUCAUUUUACUUAACAGUGAGUGGCCUCAACGCGCAAGAGUGGCGAUGCUGGCAAUUGGGAUAUGCCAAAGGGAAGCCGUAUGUACUUCUUUUAACUGAAAACAUCAUCUCAAGAAUCCACAGGACCCGGCUGUAUGUUCUGAGAAACUGCUGGCCCCUGCUAGUUCUCAAUCAAAUGUUGCCGUGUCCUAUCUCACAUGCAUCUGGAGGAGGAGUGCUCGUAAGAUACGAGAUGGCGCCACGGCCGGCAACUUUACUCAUCUUGGGAGCGGGAUGAUGUAGCUGGUUUCAUAAACUUUCCUUUCUUGUAGUGUUCAAUUCUCUCUAAAAUUUGAAGGCUUCUCUCUUACCCAUCUUUGAAAGCACAGAAUUUCCUAAACUUUUUAAGAACUAGAUGACUUUCCCAGACUUUACACUUAUUUUUUUUUCCUCUUCAUGGUCACAACCACCACAGAAAAAGAAAGCCUGGACUUUCAAAAUAAUAACCCCAGUUUACAAAGUUAUUGUCUGGAAGCUAAAUACUGAAUUUUAGGUACUCACUAUGAACCACAAAAAUAAGUAAAAUUGACAUGAUUCUCCAUAUCAUACUAUCACUACUGUAUUUUCUUGCUGUUAUAUGUCCUUUAUUCUACCUUGGGACUCUAUGCCAAUAGGAAACUGCUUUAUGCUUUAAGAUAAAUAUAAAUGCCCUAGAGACUGAAAGAAUAAUACAGGACCUUUGAAGAAGUAAAUAAUCAUGUGCACAAAGAAUGUGGAAAUGAUAUUUGGAUUCUCCAAAGUCUGACCAUUCCCAAACUUCUUGGCUUCUGCAUCCCUUUACACUCUCAAUAAUUAUGGAGCAUCCCAAAGUGCUUUUGUUUAUAUGAGUUA